GGCAGCGGAGCAGCCUAGACCUGGGUAACAAUGUGGCCAGGCUGACUCUGGUGUGAAGUGAUUAAUUUGAAAACAGUGAAGUUAAACAGCUGUACGUGGCUUCCUGGUUGUUGGCUUCUGUCAGUUUUUAUAUCCACUCUGCAGCUGUCAGCGUGUAAGGAGUGAUUUGGGGGAUGGAGAGUGCUCCUAACUGUGGGAGAAUAAGACACCAGGAGCUCUGAUGACCAGAGAAGAGCCUUGAGAAUUAAGAUCAGGCAAAUGCCAAAGAGAUGAUCAGGGCCACGUUCUGAAAAGCAGCCACUUCCCUAGUGCCAACCAAUGGAACUGUUAUUUUUGGCUGUACCACCACAGGAAAAACCUGAUCAAAGCUGGAGCACAAGUUAAUGACUGAGCACUAGAGGAGAGGAUGAGAGAAACGGCCUGUAACUUCUCAGGGCAGCAUCUCGAACCUUCUGCCAAA
RNAcentral lists this long non-coding RNA (460 nucleotides) under Marmota marmota marmota (Alpine marmot). RNAcentral describes it as "lncRNA (ENSMMMG00000017818.1)". The record is from RNAcentral. Lineage: Eukaryota; Metazoa; Chordata; Mammalia; Rodentia; Sciuridae.